AAAUUGAAGAGUUUGAUCAUGGCUCAGAUUGAACGCUGGCGGCAGGCCUAACACAUGCAAGUCGAACGGUAGCACAGAGAGCUUGCUCUCGGGUGACGAGUGGCGGACGGGUGAGUAAUGUCUGGGAAACUGCCUGAUGGAGGGGGAUAACUACUGGAAACGGUGGCUAAUACCGCAUAACGUCGCAAGACCAAAGAGGGGGACCUUCGGGCCUCUUGCCAUCAGAUGUGCCCAGAUGGGAUUAGCUUGUUGGUGAGGUAACGGCUCACCAAGGCGACGAUCCCUAGCUGGUCUGAGAGGAUGACCAGCCACACUGGAACUGAGACACGGUCCAGACUCCUACGGGAGGCAGCAGUGGGGAAUAUUGCACAAUGGGCGCAAGCCUGAUGCAGCCAUGCCGCGUGUAUGAAGAAGGCCUUCGGGUUGUAAAGUACUUUCAGCGGGGAGGAAGGUGUUGUGGUUA
This 463-nucleotide ribosomal RNA is filed under the name Salmonella enterica subsp. enterica serovar Infantis. RNAcentral's name for it is "bacterial SSU rRNA". It matches the Rfam family "Bacterial small subunit ribosomal RNA", at positions 1 to 462 of the family's 1533-position model. Lineage: Bacteria; Pseudomonadati; Pseudomonadota; Gammaproteobacteria; Enterobacterales; Enterobacteriaceae. The record is from RNAcentral. RNAcentral also lists the same sequence under 1 other name.